Molecule: ribosomal RNA, 496 nt
Filed under: uncultured bacterium
Lineage: Bacteria
Description: partial 16S ribosomal RNA
Rfam family: Bacterial small subunit ribosomal RNA
Source: RNAcentral
AUUGAACGCUGGCGGCAUGCUUUACACAUGCAAGUCGAACGGUAGAGGGGGCAACCCCUUGAGAGUGGCGAACGGGUGAGUAAUGCAUCGGAACGUGCCCAGUCGUGGGGGAUAACUACUCGAAAGAGUGGCUAAUACCGCAUACGACCUGAGGGUGAAAGCGGGGGACCGAACGGCCUCGCGCGAUUGGAGCGGCCGAUGUCAGAUUAGGUAGUUGGUGGGGUAAAGGCCUACCAAGCCUGCGAUCUGUAGCUGGUCUGAGAGGACGACCAGCCACACUGGGACUGAGACACGGCCCAGACUCCUACGGGAGGCAGCAGUGGGGAAUUUUGGACAAUGGGCGCAAGCCUGAUCCAGCCAUGCCGCGUGCGGGAAGAAGGCCUUCGGGUUGUAAACCGCUUUUGUCAGGGAAGAAAUCCUUUGGGUUAAUACCUCGGAGGGAUGACGGUACCUGAAGAAUAAGCACCGGCUAACUACGUGCCAGCAGCCGCAGUAA